UAAUCUCAGCGAAGAGCUUGCAGGCCACCAGAAAAAAGAGAUCUUCCCCAGAAUAAGCUUGUUGCUUUGUAGUGUUGGUGACCUAUUCCCUUUGAUGAUCCUUGGGUGGAGAUGGGGCAUGAGGAUCCUCCAGGGGAAAAGCUCACUACCACUGGGCAACAACCCUAGGUCAGGAGGUUUUACUAAGAUACUUUCCUGGGCCCAGAUAAGAAGAUGAAGCCUCAAGGACAACCACCACACAUCAAGAUGGGUCUAUCUGCCAAAUCAUUAUCCUUUCCAAAAGCUGUGCAAAAAAGAUGAAUGGAUAUUCAGCAGGAUCAAGAAAGUGGACACAUUAACGGAAACCAGUUUUCCUACCAGAAGAUCAAUGUGCCUGGCACUCUAGCAUUUUAAAAUAGCAGAAUGGAUGUGUCUUAGCCAUGUUCAUGUUUCCUUGCUUUCUUCUAUGCAUGCUUUUAUCUCAUUUUCUCUUUUUGUUCCUAAGUGUGGUCUAUACUUUGUCUUAAAUGUAUCUCUAAUUGUUUCAUUUUGUUGCUUCUUCUCUUCCCUCUCCUAGAUCUGGCUCUUUUCACUGUUUCUUCCUUUUAUGUCUCCACUUUGGGUUACAUGCUGUGUGCUUUUUCUGCCUCUUUCUUAUUGUGCCUGCCUCACUUGUUCUUUUUCUCUUUGUGAACUCUGAUUGUCACUCCUUCCUCUUCUUAUUGGUUCAACAUUUCACCUUUCUCUGAUUUUGGCUUCCUC
Molecule: long non-coding RNA, 741 nt
Filed under: Castor canadensis (American beaver)
Lineage: Eukaryota; Metazoa; Chordata; Mammalia; Rodentia; Castoridae
Description: lncRNA (ENSCCNG00000008369.1)
Rfam family: X-chromosome inactivation gene exon 4 (bases 42-167)
Source: RNAcentral